RNAcentral lists this unclassified non-coding RNA (332 nucleotides) under Staphylococcus capitis. Its description in RNAcentral is "16S-23S ribosomal RNA intergenic spacer". The stretch from base 97 to 170 matches the Rfam family "tRNA". Lineage: Bacteria; Bacillati; Bacillota; Bacilli; Caryophanales; Staphylococcaceae. The record is from RNAcentral.
AAGGAUAUAUUCGGAACAUCUUCUUCGAAGAUGAAARGGAWUAACGUGACAUAUUGUAUUCAGUUUUGAAUGUUUAUUAACAUUCAUUUUAAUAAUGGGCCUAUAGCUCAGCUGGUUAGAGCGCACGCCUGAUAAGCGUGAGGUCGGUGGUUCGAGUCCACUUAGGCCCACCAUUAAAAUUGUACAUUGAAAACUAGAUAAGUAAGUAAAUAGAUUUUACCAAGCAAAACCGAGUGAAUAGAGUUUUAAAUAAGCUUGAAUUCAUAAAAAUAAUCGCUAGUGUUCGAAAGAACACUCACAAGAUUAAUAACGCGUUUCCUGGUGGAAACAUA